GCAAAGCUUCGGCAGCGCUGAUAAUGUCCCUAAUCAGACUUCCAAGAAAAACUUCUAAGGUUCGUUUAUGACAGCCCGUACCGUAAACCGACACAGGUAGUCGAGAUGAGUAUUCUCAGGCGCUCGAGUGAUCCGUGGUAAAGGAACUAGGCAAAUUGACGCUGUAACUUCGGGAUAAGGCGUACCACAGUGAUGUGGUCUCAGUAAAAUGGUACAACCAACUGUUUAACAAAAACACAGGGCCCUGCAAAAUCGAAAGAUGACGUAUAGAGCCUGAUACCUGCCCGGUGCUGGAAGGUUAAGGAAGGAUGUUCGGAGCAAUCCAAAGCUUCUGACUGAAGCCCCAGUAAACGGCGGCCGUAACUAUAACGGUCCUAAGGUAGCGAAAUUCCUUGUCGGGUAAGUUCCGACCUGCACGAAUGGUCUAAUGAGUUGUACACUGUCUCUACCACGAGCUCGGUGAAAUUGUAGUAUCGGUGAAGAUGCCGGUUAAUCGCAACGGGACGGAAAGACCCCGUGAACCUUCACUACAACUUAACAUUGAUUUUGAAUGCCAGAUGUGUAGGAUAGUUGGGAGACUGUGAAGCAGCUUCGCCAGGAGUUGUGGAGUCAUCGUUGAAAUACCAACCUUCUGUUAUUUAGAGUCUAAUCCCUGCAAGGGGAGACAUUGUUUGGUGGGUAGUUUGACUGGGGUGGUCGCCUCCUAAAAGGUAACGGAGGCUCGCAAAGGUACCCUCAGUACGGUUAGUAAUCGUACGUAGAGCGCAUUAGUAUAAGGGUGCUUGACUGUGAGGCAAACAAGCCGAGCAGGUGCGAAAGCAGGCUAAAGUGAUCCGGUGGUUCUGUAUGGAAGGGCCAUCGCUCAAAGGAUAAAAGGUACUCCGGGGAUAACAGGCUGAUCUCACCCAAGAGCUCAUAUCGACGGUGAGGUUUGGCACCUCGAUGUCGGUUCGUCACAUCCUGGGGCUGGAGAAGGUCCCAAGGGUUCGGCUGUUCGCCGAUUAAAGUGGCACGUGAACUGGGUUCAGAACGUCGCAAGACAGUUCGGUCCCUAUCUGUUGUGAUCGUUAGUAAAUUGAGGAGACAUGACCUUAGUACGAGAGGACCGGGUCGUACGUACCGCUGGUGUAUCUGUUGUGCCGCCAGGUGCAGUGCAGAGUAGCUAUGUACGGACAGGAUAAACGCUGAAAGCAUCUAAGCGUGAAACCUGCUUCAAGAUGAGUUUACUUUUAAGGGCCGUCGGAGACUACGACGUUGAUAGGUUACAGGUGUAAAGGUGGUAACAUCACAGCCGAGUAAUACUAAUUGCCCGUAAGCUUUAACUUUA
This 1327-nucleotide ribosomal RNA is filed under the name Chitinophaga qingshengii. RNAcentral describes it as "partial 23S ribosomal RNA". It matches the Rfam family "Bacterial large subunit ribosomal RNA", at positions 1567 to 2925 of the family's 2925-position model. The record is from RNAcentral. Lineage: Bacteria; Pseudomonadati; Bacteroidota; Chitinophagia; Chitinophagales; Chitinophagaceae.